GACGAACGCUGGCGGCGUGCUUAACACAUGCAAGUCGAACGGAAAGGCCCUGCUUUUGUGGGGUGCUCGAGUGGCGAACGGGUGAGUAACACGUGAGUAACCUGCCCUUGACUUUGGGAUAACUUCAGGAAACUGGGGCUAACACCGGAUAGGAGCUCCUGCUGCAUGGGGGGGGUUGGAAAGUUUCGGCGGUUGGGGAUGGACUCGCGGCUUAUCAGCUUGUUGGUGGGGUAGUGGCUUACCAAGGCUUUGACGGGUAGCCGGCCUGAGAGGGUGACCGGCCACAUUGGGACUGAGUUACGGCCCAGACUCCUACGGGAGGCAGCAGUGGGAAUUAUUGCACAAUGGGCGGAGGCCUGAUGCGGCAACCCCGCGUGCGGGAUAACGGCCUUCGGGUUGUAAACCGCUUUCGCCUGUGACGAAGCGUGAGUGACGGUAAUGGGUAAAGAAGCACCGGCUAACUACGUG
Molecule: ribosomal RNA, 468 nt
Filed under: uncultured bacterium
Lineage: Bacteria
Description: partial 16S ribosomal RNA
Rfam family: Bacterial small subunit ribosomal RNA
Source: RNAcentral